This 484-nucleotide ribosomal RNA is filed under the name uncultured bacterium. RNAcentral's name for it is "partial 16S ribosomal RNA". It matches the Rfam family "Bacterial small subunit ribosomal RNA", at positions 30 to 507 of the family's 1533-position model. The record is from RNAcentral.
AUUGAACGCUGGCGGCAGGCCUAACACAUGCAAGUCGAGCGGAUGAAGGGAGCUUGCUCCUGGAUUCAGCGGCGGACGGAUGAGUAAUGCCUAGGAAUCUGCCUGGUAGUGGGGGGUAACGUCCGGAAACGGGCGCUAAUACCGCAUACGUCCUGAGGGAGAAAGUGGGGGAUCUUCGGACCUCACGCUAUCAGAUGAGCCUAGGUCGGAUUAGCUAGUUGGUGGGGUAAAGGCCUACCAAGGCGACGAUCCGUAACUGGUCUGAGAGGAUGAUCAGUCACACUGGAACUGAGACACGGUCCAGACUCCUACGGGAGGCAGCAGUGGGGAAUAUUGGACAAUGGGCGAAAGCCUGAUCCAGCCAUGCCGCGUGUGUGAAGAAGGUCUUCGGAUUGUAAAGCACUUUAAGUUGGGAGGAAGGGCAGUAAGUUAAUACCUUGCUGUUUUGACGUUACCAACAGAAUAAGCACCGGCUAACUUCGUG